RNAcentral lists this ribosomal RNA (109 nucleotides) under Erinaceus europaeus (western European hedgehog). The record is from RNAcentral. Lineage: Eukaryota; Metazoa; Chordata; Mammalia; Eulipotyphla; Erinaceidae.
GUCUAUGGCCAGACCACCCUGAACACACCCAGUGUCAUCUGAUCUCAAAAAGCUAACCUGGCUAGUACUUGGAUGGGAGACUGCCUGGGAAUUUGGAGUGCUGUAGGCU